This is a long non-coding RNA of Megalobrama amblycephala (Wuchang bream), 3390 nucleotides long. RefSeq lists it as uncharacterized. NCBI's taxonomy places the organism in Eukaryota, Metazoa, Chordata, Actinopteri, Cypriniformes, Xenocyprididae. The record is from RefSeq and is a predicted model, not a curated record. The transcript is spliced from 11 exons.
AGAUCAAACAGAUUUAUUGCUUUGUUAAAAGGACAUUCAGUUUCAAGAACUAAAAAUAUUCUAAACUAGGUGCUGAUAUCAAAUGAGUUUUAUCAAAAAGUCAUUUGUGGAAAUUAUAUCCAAUAAGCUGUUGUGGUAAAAAGUGGAGGAAAAUGUUCUAAUCAAUUUAUUAACAAACCACAAAGUCAGAUAACAAUUGUGAUAAACACAUAACAUUUAAAUAACUUUAUUCAAAUAGCUUUUACUUAAUUAAAAAAAAAAAGAGAGUCCAUCACACUUGCUUGGAAGUUUCUAGUAACCCUGAAGACCUUGAUUCACUGCUUCAGGUGUUUUUAAUCAGGUUGGAGAUAAACUCAGGAAAGUGGCUCAUCAGGAGCAGGAUCCAGUAGCUCCUCACUGCAGAACACAUGAGAUCCAGGGGGUGGAGAUGGCUGUGGACAACACAAAUUACUGUAGUUGUGCUGCAGGAUUUCAGGGCAAUGACAUAUUGUACAGUGGAUGCAUGUGCAGAGAACAAUGGUGGCUGCUCUGUCCAUGCCAUGUGCAAGAAUACUGUACCAGGACAGAGAAUGUGUGUUUGCUACCCAGAUUAUGAAGGCAAUGGAAAACUAUCAAUCCAUGUCUGGCUGGUAAUAACAGAAUGCCAUAUGAAUGCAGUCAGCAUCUACAGGUCCUUAUAAGGUAAGAUACUAAUAUACAAACCAUCCACAAAGGCAGCAAACAAAUACAAUUUAAAAAAAUUCCAUAUCACAUUUCACUCAAAUAUACACAAACAACUGCUCCACAGUGCAAGUUUAUUGCUAACACCUGCCUGUAGUUAAAUUCCUAAGAGCCUUGAUUACUUGGUUUAAGCAUUUAGUUCAAGUUGUUCAAUGAAAACCAAACUACAAUAAAGAUUUUAAAUCCACAAAGACAGCACAAAUACUACCAUGCUUGAGAAGUAUCAGUGUUUGUUACCACAACAGUGUGUGGUUACCAACACUUCAAAAUAUUAUGUGUCCCACAGGGGAAAGAGGGGGAAAUGGGAGUAAAUGACAGUGUUCAUGUCUGGGUGAAGAUACAAUGGUUUUAUUUAAAUUCACCUUAAAAAUAAUGGCUGUACUAAUACUACUGUAAAGUAUAAACAAUAAAAUUUUAUUACCUUAAACUACAGUUGUCCUUAAAGUCAGAUGACUUAAUCCAUCAUUGGUUACUGAAUGUUUAGAAAGUUAAUGGUUUGACUAGAACAGGCCCAACUUCUACAUUAAUUUUAGAACCCACCAGCUGACAACCACUGCAUUACAUAAACUUGACCUUGUGGCACUCAGCUCACAAUACCAUGAACAUCAUGAGUCACAAUUACUUGUUUUGUCAUAAAAAUGGAGGAUGCCACUGGUAUGCCGAAUGCACCAUGCAUUCCUCUCCAGAGGUCGUCAUUUGUAGGCUUGGCUUUAUUGGAGAUGGAGCGACUUGGGGAAAAAAGGCACCCUGCAGAAGGUUAGAAGUGCAGCAAACUGUAAACAGGCACAAGUGAAACAAUACCUUAACAGUGCUUAACUAAUUUCUUUUUAGGAGAUCCAAAACAAAUUUAGGCAAAUUUUACAUGGGACUGGUGGUAAGCUGAAUCUUAGUCAAAAUUUACACUUGUUUUUUUUAACUGGAAAUUCUGAGAUUGAUUUGACUGAGGGCUCUUUUUAUAAACAGGAAUGAUAUUCCUUAACUCAGAAGUUGUGGCCCUUUUACAGUCUUUGUACCCAAUUCAGAUGCUUACAACAAACCUGAGUGCAAGGGAUCUGGAAAGCGAACGCGUUCUGAAAACGCCAAAAUCCAGAGGUAUCACAUAGUGGCCUGCCGUGUCCUCCUGCCAAAAGAUCUCAUGCAGCCUCAUAACCUGACCACACUUAAUGGUGACAUCCUCACCGUUAUGUACUCAGAGAUGUCUGCAUGAGAUGACUGCAUAAGGUAUGUGUUUAACUUAUUAUUUGUUUCCAGGAUACUAUAUAUAUAUCUCAAUAUCAAAGCCAAGGUGGUGUUCAGUGAUCUGGAAAGUAGCAACGUGAUUUGAGACCAUGAGACUGACACUGUCCUAGUGCCCCCCAGUUUCCAGAUUCAGAAAGAAACAAAACGGCACACCGCGUAACCUCACAGAAGUGGUCAAUAUCCAUGGCUUCAAGACAUUCUACAAGCUCCUUGAGGACACAGAUACGUUGAAGUUGGUGAUGGACCCAGUUCAUCAGCCUGUCACCUUGUUCAUUCCCACUGACGGUGUAAUAGCCGCCCUGGCCCGUUUUUGUUAAAGCAUUGAAAUGAUUUAUUUAUGGGCAUGAUGAAUCUUCUAGGAUAUAGAUUUAUGACUGUUCUGUCUUUUUCAGCAAAUCCUGAAUUAUUCAACUUCUGCAUCAGGAAAAGUGUUUGUGAAUCGCCUAAGUAAUAUUACAAUCCAGUCCACUCUGUUUGUACCUGAUAACGAUGGCCUCUAUAGCAACCAGACUUUGAGUGGCAGAGACAUAGAGCACCAUCUACUGGAUGGGAGAGCUUUGGUACUGCCUUCACUUAUUAACAUCACUCAUGUCCGAACACGACUGGGACACAGCCUGACCAUCAGCAGCGUCCCAGAUUUCCAGAACCCUCAAGUAAUGAUCUCCUCUGGAGGACAUCAAUGACCGUUAUGUCAUAGACUCUGACAUUUUUGCAUCCAAUGGGGUCAUCCAUGUUCUCCAAGGCCCAUUGAAAGCACCUCCACCUCCAUCCAUCCACCCAGGUCAUAAGGCUGGGAUGGGCAUCGGCAUCCUGGGGCUCAUCAUCCUCAUCGUAGCAACUGGAUUUGUGGGAUAUAAUUUCUACUCGUAUAAAACAAAGCCAUUCCAGUUUCACUACUUUAAGGAGGAUGAAGGGGAAGCUGUGAACCCAUCAGAAUCCAGCCCAAACAUCAUUAAUCCUGUAUAUGACUCUGAACCUGCCACAAAAGAACAAACUCCAGCGGUCACUGACUCAAAGAGUGAAGACAAGCAUCAAGUGAUUUCCAGUGGAUCCUAUGACCUUCUCCAGGACAGCUGAAAUCACAAAGUCAAGCAUAUGCUAUGUAAUUAUUUAAUUAUCUCCAGAAACUAAGCAGUCGGACAUUCUAGUGCAGUUCUCUCUGAGAACAAGAGAGCUCACUGUGAACUCCACGUCAGUUUCGGGACAGUGGAAAGCUAAUGUAGACUGAGAAAUCAAUCUGAAUCUACUGAGGUUAUGUAUGCAUGUUUAUUUUUGGAUGAGAGAGUAAUUGAACGUGUAAAUGUUUUGAACUUGUUUACCAGCAGUCUCUAAAUUCUGUUGUACUACAGGCAUUAAUAAUGUCCAACAUGUUUUAAAUAACUGUCCUGCUCAAAGCACAAUUGAAACAAUAAAUAAAAGAAAAAUUGUGAA